AAACAACCACAAGAACCCUUAUCCUCAGCUACACCAUCACUUGCGCAUUCAAUUUUGACUCUGUACUCUUUUCAUUUUUUUCUCUUUUUUUCCUUCACCCUAAUCAUUUACUCUGCUUUUUUUCUAUUGAAUUAGUUGAUGCAUUUUUUUUCAAUUUUUCCAUAAUUAACUAAAUGAAUGAUUUUUGUUGUUAGAGUGGAUGAGGGAAGAUAGCAAUUUUUGUUGAGGGAAGAUAACAAUUUUUCCUCAACUUAUAUUCAUUCCAAUUUUAGUUUUCAUUUAUUAAAGUUGUUAUUGAUAAUAGGCUGAUAGUGUUAGGAUGGAGGAGGAAGAAUUUGACAAGUAAAGAUCCAAGGUAAGUGAUGACUAGGAAGGAAAUAGAGAGGUCUAUUGAAUUUAAAAUUAAUCAAAGUCUCUUAAUUUAUAGAUAGAUAAUUAUAUUUCCAUAUUUUGAUUUAUUUAAAGUUUCUUAAUAGCGAAAAAUGGUUAUUUACUAGAUGAGAAGGAUGAUAUGUAAAGGAAUUGUUGGGGCUAGCAAUUUAGGAUAUGAAUAAAAAAUUUCUUACAAUCUCUUCAUUUUGGGUUACUGAUUUGUAUCCAUGAUAAGUUGUUUAUUUUCAUGGUAUGAUAGUUUGAGAAGAAAAGAAGUGUAAAAUUAGAUUUUAAAAUCAUUUGCUUAAGUUGGUUCUAUGAAUUUGUAUUUUUAUCAUUUUUAUUGUCCCUCGUGAUAAUAUAAGCUAGAUGUGGAAUUGGAUGACUAUUUGGUUGAAGGAGUUGAUAAAUUUUUAUAAAGUCAAGUAACUGAAUUGAUUGAUGUUGUCAAGGAAUUGCAAUUGGUGGUCGAAGUCAAAAUUGAGACUUUUAGCCUAGAGUGUGAUUCUAUAAAAAAUUGUUAAAAAUUCAAUCUUGAUUAAGAAGACAUUUCUGCGAUCAAACAAAUGGUUGGUUUCAAAUUUGUACAUGUACAUUUGCAAACAUGGCAGUUCAUAUUUUUAUCUAAUAUCGCUAUUUGUAUUCUCAAGUUGUUUGGCAGAUAAUAUUAUCACCUGUUUGUAAUGCUAUUAAAAAGGAUUUAAAUUGAUGGAUUAAUAACUCGCUUUUUCUUUGAAAAAGACAAAAAAAAAAAAAAACAAUGUGUAGGUUUGUAUGUUUUGAAAAGGAUAGAAAAAUGUGCAAGUUUGUAUGUUUUAUUGAUGUUGAAAAUUGUGACAGAUUUUGGCGACUUUCUAAACCUUUUCUAAUUAUUAAACUGCUAGAAGUAUUAUGACUAUUUUUUAUUUAGUCACAAUUAAAGCUAUGUUGCUAUUAAAUGUGCAAUGUAGUGUACUUAUUAUCUCUCCUUUUUUUGGUAUUAUUAUGCACACAUAGUAUUGGUUCAAAAAUCUUUGUCCAAAUCACGAUAAAUAGAGGACUAACUUCAUAAACGGAAUUUAUCUUCAUAGCAAAUUUUAAUCGUUUUGAUGCUCAAAUUUUCUCCUAUAUUUACCAAAAAGAUUUAUUACUCUUUGUUUAACUAAACUUCUAAGGGGCAAAGCACGGCCAAGAUACCUCUAGUACUCUAUAGAGGAAGACAAGCCGUAUCUCGUUUGGAAAGGGGACGAGCCUAGGGCUGCAAACGAGCCGAGUCGAGUCGAGCUUUGAGCUAAUCGAGCCGAGCCUCGAUUAAAUUUUACCAAGCUCGAGCUCGACGAGCUGGCAAUUUUCGAGCUCGAGCUCGACUCGAAUCAAGUCGAGCCGAGCUCGAGCUCGAGCUCGAGCUCGAAAAAAAUAAAAAAAAAUUAUUUUAUUUUUAAAAAAAUAAAAAAAAUAAUAUUUUUUUCUGAAUAAAUAAUAAAAUAUUAAGGAUAUAUAGGUAAUUUCACUAUGAAAAUAAAAAAUUAAAAUAUAUUUAUAUAUAAUAUACGUAAUUUUAUUAUUAAAUAAAAAUAAAAAAAAUAUAUAAAUAUAUAUACUCAAGCUCGCGAGCCGGCUCGCGAGCUAACGAGCUUAAUAUUCUGAGCUCGAGUUCGAGCUCGAAUUUGACUCGAGCUGGCUCGAGUUCGACUCGAGCUCGAUUAAUCUCGAGCUCGACUCGAGCUUGACUCGAGCCGCUCGCGAGCGGCUCGCGAGCGGCUCGAUUCGUUUGCAGCCCUAAACGAGCCACAUAUGCUUCUUUAUGUUUAUGGGGGUUGACCUAGGACCAUUAGCAUUUGACUUUCCUCCUGUGAUGCGGCAUGAUUUGGGGGUUAACAAGUUUAUUCUUAAAUAUUCUGAUUUACACCCCAAAUAGCUGCUUAAAUAUUCUGUUUUCUUUUCUUUUUUAUUAGUUUGUCUUUGCCCAAGAUAUCAAGCUUUUUCUGGUUGCUUCAGGUGAAAAAGAUGGCCGAGACUCUUGCUGGUGUCAUUCACUUGCUGCUAAGAUAUCAGGCUCGUGCAGCAUUUCAAGAGAGCGCUUCGGAGGCUGGCUGGAAACACUUUGGCUGAAAAAGCUCUAACGUGUUGCAUAUGCAGUUCUGCGUGGAAAAAUGGCCAACGAAGGAGGACCAAGUGCGCACAUACCGUUUCUUCCUCAAAUACUUGUCUGUUUCUUUUUGAGAUGGUGCAUAAAAUUGACCAACUUGAACGAAGUUUCGAGUAAAGCACAUAAAAGUAGUUGAAGUGUACAAUGCAUUGGAUAUCAAUGGGGGGAGGGAUGGGUUGGGUGGUAUGGGGGGAGGGAGUGUAAGCAAAAGGUCUCGGGUUCGAGUCCUUCUACUUACACUAAAAAAAAAAAAAAGAUAUCAAUGAUUCACGCUUCUAUUGAUGAUUUAUAGAUGAUGGGAACAGAAUGACGAUUUCUUGAAACCUUUAAAUAAGGUGACUAGCUAGCUUGGACAAGGGAAAAAAUUCAAAGAAUCAUCAGCAUUACAAAAAUGGCUGGUGAAGGAAAGAUGACACGACUAGCUUACUGGAAAGACAAGGUUUGGAGACAAGAUUUAGGGGUAGGGAAGCUGAUGAUCAGAAUGUAAAUAUCUUAGGCUCUUGAAAUGGAUUUGAUUGUGCUUACUGAACCAAUUUUGGAAGUAAUAUUGGAAAGCCUUAAACAAGAACUGAGUGGUAAAAAGUAUUUGAUGCUUCUUGAUAAUGCAUGGAAUGAGAAUCAAGGCAUGAACUUUUGCAUUGAUCUUUUUCUUUUGUCCAGAUGGAGAGUUGUAAUGAAAGGAAAAGACUGAUAAUUGCAGACCGAAGAAGUGCUUCAGAGAUUUUGACAAUGCACUAUUGGUGGAGGGACUUUAUAAUGAUAGCUAGCUUAAAGCUGUGUUCUUCAACAAAAUAACUUUCGCGAGUGAUUGAUCAAUUAAGAGCUUAAAGCUGGUGACUGCAGGAAGUAUUAUAGGGAAAAGGUGUGUAAAGAUGCUAUCAUUGAUCAUGGCAAUCGGAGAGUUUGUUGCACUCAAUUAUGAUUCCCUUACAAUGAACUUGUUUACCUUCACCAAAACAGUAGAGAAGAUUGCUUUUUUGUCCCCAGAGAUGAGAUCUGGCUUCGUUCCUGAGCUUUACAAACAUAUAUAUGAAAAUUCUCAAGUUUGGGAUUUUAUCAGGCACGUGCUCAGCAAUUUUGAGAGUUUGCUAGUUUCCUACACAUUAGAGCUAUUACUUUGACUGGG
Molecule: long non-coding RNA, 3626 nt
Filed under: Coffea arabica (coffee)
Lineage: Eukaryota; Viridiplantae; Streptophyta; Magnoliopsida; Gentianales; Rubiaceae
Description: long non-coding RNA (CARA_LNC001091)
Source: RNAcentral